UUGGGCUACUGUUAUGGCAGGGGACCUGCUGAGUGGCUGCUCUCUUUACACCAUCUCAACCAAGAGUCUGGGUUCACUGACAAGGGGCACAAGACUUGUGGCUUUCCUGUGGGAGCACACACACAC
Molecule: small nucleolar RNA, 126 nt
Organism: Erinaceus europaeus (western European hedgehog)
Lineage: Eukaryota; Metazoa; Chordata; Mammalia; Eulipotyphla; Erinaceidae
Source: Ensembl